UCGUUCCUACGGGGGGCAGCAGUGAGGAAUAUUGGUCAAUGGGCGAGAGCCUGAACCAGCCAAGUCGCGUGAGGGAAGACGGUCCUAUGGAUUGUAAACCUCUUUUGCCGGGGAGCAAAAAGCGGUACGUGUACCGCAUCGAGAGUACCCGGAGAAAAAGCAUCGGCUAACUCCGUGCCAGCAGCCGCGGUAAUACGGAGGAUGCGAGCGUUAUCCGGAUUUAUUGGGUUUAAAGGGUGCGCAGGCGGCGAGUUAAGUCAGCGGUAAAAUUGAGGGGCUCAACCCCUUCCCGCCAUUGAAACUGG
This 305-nucleotide ribosomal RNA is filed under the name uncultured bacterium. RNAcentral's name for it is "bacterial SSU rRNA". It matches the Rfam family "Bacterial small subunit ribosomal RNA", at positions 333 to 636 of the family's 1533-position model. The record is from RNAcentral.